AUUGAACGCUGGCGGCAUGCCUUACACAUGCAAGUCGAACGGCAGCACGGGUGCUUGCACCUGGUGGCGAGUGGCGAACGGGUGAGUAAUACAUCGGAACAUGUCCUGUAGUGGGGGAUAGCCCGGCGAAAGCCGGAUUAAUACCGCAUACGAUCUACGGAUGAAAGCGGGGGACCUUCGGGCCUCGCGCUAUAGGGUUGGCCGAUGGCUGAUUAGCUAGUUGGUGGGGUAAAGGCCUACCAAGGCGACGAUCAGUAGCUGGUCUGAGAGGGCGACCAGCCACACUGGGACUGAGACACGGCCCAGACUCCUACGAGAGGCAGCAGUGGGGAAUUUUGGACAAUGGGCGAAAGCCUGAUCCAGCAAUGCCGCGUGUGUGAAGAAGGCCUUCGGGUUGUAAAGCACUUUUGUCCGGAAAGAAAUCCUUGGCCCUAAUACGGUCGGGGGAUGACGGUACCGGAAGAAUAAGCACCGGCUAACUACGUG
Molecule: ribosomal RNA, 486 nt
Filed under: uncultured bacterium
Lineage: Bacteria
Description: partial 16S ribosomal RNA
Rfam family: Bacterial small subunit ribosomal RNA
Source: RNAcentral